CUCCUUCCUUCCUCCAAGACUUUCCAGGCAAUCGGCUCCUUCCUUCAAGGAGAGAAUGAUAGAGUUGGGGCUACAGAGAUUUUCCAUGGAAAAGGUUGGAAGAGCACACCAAGGAUGGUCCUGGGGACAGGUGAGGAGCAGCACCAGUGGGACUGAGCGCUGUGGAAGGACUUUCCUUGGAGGAGGAACGAGCAGCUCGUGCCUCGAGCCUCCCACCCCGAGCCCAAAGCACUCGAGGAGCUCGUUUGUCAACAGGCAGGAGCCUUUGAUUCCCCUCAUCCCUCCGGGAAGAUUAAACGGCAGGCGGUGUGUGGUGGGAGCAGCAUAUGCCACGGCAGAUGGCACCGACGCAAUUCCAGGGGAGUGAAAUCACUCAUCUGCUCUCCCCUGCCUUUGGAGAGACCGGGAAUGCUGCGGGAGAGAAAGGGGAGAUGGAGCAACCAUGGAAAAUUAGCCUGACAGCCCCUGCUGUUGCUCUGUAACAGGUCACCAGCUGCAAUACCACUCCCAGCAGCCAGAACUGGUGCCUCUUCUCCUGGUCAACCCCACUGCUGUUGAAGAGAUACUCCAAUUUCUCUUCCUCAUAGGAUUCAAAAAUAUAAUAUCUGCAGAGAGGGAACUGAGCAGUCUCUGCAAAAAGCCAUGAACUACGAAAGCUGGGGGAAAAACCCUUUUCACUGACCUCAUCUCUGUGGAUUCUUCCUGCCUUCUC
This is a long non-coding RNA of Chiroxiphia lanceolata (lance-tailed manakin), 712 nucleotides long. RefSeq lists it as uncharacterized. The transcript is spliced from 3 exons. NCBI's taxonomy places the organism in Eukaryota, Metazoa, Chordata, Aves, Passeriformes, Pipridae. The record is from RefSeq and is a predicted model, not a curated record.